UACGUAGGUGGCAAGCGUUAUCCGGAUUUAUUGGGCGUAAAGGGAACGCAGGCGGUCUUUUAAGUCUGAUGUGAAAGCCUUCGGCUUAACCGGAGUAGUGCAUUGGAAACUGGGAGACUUGAGUGCAGAAGAGGAGAGUGGAACUCCAUGUGUAGCGGUGAAAUGCUUAGAGAUCAUACAGAACACCGAUUGCGAAGGCAGCUUACCAAGCUACUUCUGACGUUGAGGCACGAAAGCGUGGGGAGCAAACAGG
RNAcentral lists this ribosomal RNA (253 nucleotides) under uncultured bacterium. Its description in RNAcentral is "partial 16S ribosomal RNA". It matches the Rfam family "Bacterial small subunit ribosomal RNA", at positions 524 to 776 of the family's 1533-position model. The record is from RNAcentral.